GACGAACGCUGGCGGCGUGCUUAACACAUGCAAGUCGAACGGAAAGGCCCUGCUUUUGUGGGGUGCUCGAGUGGCGAACGGGUGAGUAACACGUGAGUAACCUGCCCUUGACUUUGGGAUAACUUCAGGAAACUGGGGCUAAUACCGGAUAGGAGCUCCUGCUGCAUGGUGGGGGUUGGAAAGUUUCGGCGGUUGGGUAUGGACUCGCGGCUUAUCAGCUUGUUGGUGGGGUAGUGGCUUACCAAGGCUUUGACGGGUAGCCGGCCUGAGAGGGUGACCGGCCACAUUGGGACUGAGAUACGGCCCAGACUCCUAAGGGAGGCAGCAGUGGGGAAUAUUGCACAAUGGGCGGAAGCCUGAUGCAGCAACGCCGCGUGCGGGAUGACGGCCUUCGGGUUGUAAACCGCUUUCGCCUGUGACGAAGCGUGAGUGACGGUAAUGGGUAAAGAAGCACCGGCUAACUACGUG
This 468-nucleotide ribosomal RNA is filed under the name uncultured bacterium. Its description in RNAcentral is "partial 16S ribosomal RNA". It matches the Rfam family "Bacterial small subunit ribosomal RNA", at positions 28 to 507 of the family's 1533-position model. The record is from RNAcentral.